RNAcentral lists this ribosomal RNA (774 nucleotides) under uncultured Neocallimastigales. RNAcentral describes it as "partial large subunit ribosomal RNA". It matches the Rfam family "Eukaryotic large subunit ribosomal RNA", at positions 23 to 643 of the family's 3401-position model. Lineage: Eukaryota; Fungi; Neocallimastigomycota; Neocallimastigomycetes; Neocallimastigales. The record is from RNAcentral.
GAGACUCUGUGCGCGUGCAUAUCAAUAAGCGGAGGAAAAGAAACUAACAAGGAUUCCCUUAGUAACGGCGAGUGAAGCGGGAAGAGCUCAAAUUUGAAAUCUUCAAGGUUCUACCUUGACGAAUUGUAGUUUAUAGAAGUGUUUUCUGUUAGUAGAGUGGCAAAAGUUCUUUGGAAUAGGACAUCAUAGAGGGUGAGAAUCCCGUAUUUGGUCAUUCCUCCUAGCGUUGUGAUACACUUUCAACGAGUCGGAUUGUUUGGGAAUGCAGUCCAAAAUGGGUGGUAAAUUUCAUCUAAAGCUAAAUAUUGGCGAGAGACCGAUAGCGAACAAGUACCGUGAGGGAAAGAUGAAAAGAACUUUGAAAAGAGAGUUAAACAGUACGUGAAAUUGUCAAAAGGGAAGCGUUUGACACCAGUGUUGUUUUUCCGAAAAUCAAUUACGAAUGUUUCGUUUUUAAGGAGUUAUGACUUCAUCGGCUUGCUCCUUUCUUUACGAAACUUUCUUAAUGCACUUUUCGGUUAACAAGUCAACAUCAAUUUCUUUUGUUGUAAAAGGGUAUGAGGAAGGUGGCUUUCUUUUCGGAGAAAGUGUUUAUAGCCUUGUACCUCUGCAAUCGGAGAGAUUGAGGUCUGCAGCGUAGAUCCUUCGGGGUUAGAUACAUUUGUGCUAAGUUAUAGCUUUUCAUAGACAACUUGUUGACUAUGUUUAGUCUUGUAGCUUACUCGCUUACGCUAUUUUACCUACGCUUAGGAUGUUGAAGAUGUAGCACAUCAU